This 65-nucleotide transfer RNA is filed under the name Pluralibacter gergoviae. It matches the Rfam family "tRNA", at positions 6 to 65 of the family's 71-position model. Rfam says of the family: Transfer RNA (tRNA) molecules are approximately 80 nucleotides in length. Their secondary structure includes four short double-helical elements and three loops (D, anti-codon, and T loops). The record is from RNAcentral. Lineage: Bacteria; Pseudomonadati; Pseudomonadota; Gammaproteobacteria; Enterobacterales; Enterobacteriaceae.
CUUAGCUCAGUUGGAUAGAGCAACGGCCUUCUAAGCCGUGGGUCGCAGGUUCGAAUCCUGCAGGG